Molecule: ribosomal RNA, 792 nt
Filed under: bacterium enrichment culture clone 11(2009)
Lineage: Bacteria
Description: bacterial SSU rRNA
Rfam family: Bacterial small subunit ribosomal RNA
Source: RNAcentral
GUUUGAUCCUGGCUCAGGAUGAACGCUAGCGGCAGGCCUAAUACAUGCAAGGCGAGGGGUUGGCAACAACACCGUCGUACGGGCGCGUAACGCGUAUGCAACCUACCUAUCACAGGGGGAUAGCCUUUGGAAACAGGGAUUAAUACCGCAUAAAGCAGGGGCUUGGCAUCAAGAUACUGCUAAAGAUUUAUCGGUGAUAGAUGGGCAUGCGUCUGAUUAGUUAGAUGGUGAGGUAACGGCUCACCAUGACGAUGAUCAGUAGGGGGCGUCAGAGCGUGGUCCCCCACACUGGCACUGAGAUACGGGCCAGACUCCUACGGGAGGCAGCAGUAGGGAAUAUUGGGCAAUGGAUGCAAGUCUGACCCAGCCAUGCCGCGUGGAGGAAGAAGGUCCUCUGGAUUGUAAACUCCUUUUGUCGGGGAAGAAGAGUCAUCUUGCGAGGUGAUGUGACGGUACCCGAUGAAUAAGCCACGGCUAACUACGUGCCAGCAGCCGCGGUAAUACGUAGGUGGCAAGCGUUGUCCGGAUUUAUUGGGUUUAAAGGGUGCGUAGGUGGUUUAUUAAGUCAGUGGUGAAAGCUGGUUGCUCAACAAUCAAGUUGCCAUUGAUACUGAUAGACUUGAGAGAAGUGGAGGUUCAUGGAAUGGAUGGUGUAGCGGUGAAAUGCAUAGACAUCAUCCAGAACGUCGAUUGCGAAGGCAGUGGGCUGUACUUUUUCUGACACUGAGGCACGAAAGCGUGGGGAUCAAACAGGAUUAGAUACCCUGGUAGUCCACGCUGUAAACGAUGCGA